GGCAUUCUCAGGUGACACACCCCAGGAUGAGGCUCCCUUCUCUCUGGUUCAGGGUGCAUUACCCGAGAACCGCC
This is a non-coding RNA of Myotis lucifugus (little brown bat), 74 nucleotides long. Lineage: Eukaryota; Metazoa; Chordata; Mammalia; Chiroptera; Vespertilionidae. The record is from Rfam.